CGUGUAGGUGGCUUCGCAAGUCGGGUGUGAAAUCCCUGGGCUCAACCCAGGACGUGCAUCCGAAACUGCGUCGCUUGAGUGCUGGAGAGGGCAGUGGAAUUCCCGGUGUAGAGGUGAAAUUCGUAGAUAUCGGGAGGAACACCGGUGGCGAAGGCGGCUGCCUGGACAGCUACUGACACUGAGACGCGAAAGCGUGGGGAGCAAACA
Molecule: ribosomal RNA, 207 nt
Filed under: uncultured bacterium
Lineage: Bacteria
Description: partial 16S ribosomal RNA
Rfam family: Bacterial small subunit ribosomal RNA
Source: RNAcentral